UACAUUUAUUGUAAUUUGUAGUCUGCUAGUUUAUUCAGGUAGAACAUUUCCUAUUGUUUAUAUCUUUUCUAUUGGUCACUAUGAUUUAGGCGGGAAUCUUUUGUUUAACUAUUCUUUGUUCUGGUCACUUGGCUAAAAUAUUUAUAUGAAGUGGUAGCCAUUUUCUUCAGCUCUAUUGGAAGUUGUUAUAUCUUUAAUUUGGUUCUUGAAAUAGUCUAGGACUUUCAUAUUCUUUUAUAAGGUUAUACUAUUGAAACAGAAUGUAAACUGAUUCAAAUCAAUCAGUUGGUGAAAAGACCUUUGCACUACAUGUGAGGUAUGUUUAUAUGUAUAAAGUUUGUAUUGUUCAUGUUACUUUUAUGUUGCUUUGCUUAAAUGUAUUGUCUGCUUUGUGUAACUGUUGCAAAACGGAAUGUCUUGUUUGCACUUACAAUUGCGUGUUAUUAUUAUGUUAAACUAACUAUUUUCGGUAUGAUACUACAAGCGUAGCUAUGUAUUAGCUGUGAACUUAGUCUGUCGUUGCAUAUUUCACAAUGCACUAAAUACAGAGAAAUAUAGAAUGUACUUAUUUAAUACAGAAUUCGGAAUGGUGUAAUAUCGUUUUGUGUAGCUUGUAAUAAUAUUAUUUUAAAGAGCAAAGGAAAUCUACAGUUUUCUUCUAUGCAUAUAGAUAUAUUGAUUUUAUAGUAAUUGAUAAUUACUACUUAUUGAAUUGUAUAAGAAAUAUAUUGUUAUUAUUUCAGGGUCAUUUUUGUUAGAAUAUUACCAUCAAUUCUGAUGAAAUAAAGAACCUAAACCUAUCAA
Molecule: long non-coding RNA, 804 nt
Organism: Mytilus trossulus (common blue mussel)
Lineage: Eukaryota; Metazoa; Mollusca; Bivalvia; Mytilida; Mytilidae
Exons: 2
Source: RefSeq, a predicted model, not a curated record